RNAcentral lists this unclassified non-coding RNA (585 nucleotides) under Homo sapiens (human). RNAcentral's name for it is "major histocompatibility complex, class I, F (ENSG00000229698.11)". The record is from RNAcentral. Lineage: Eukaryota; Metazoa; Chordata; Mammalia; Primates; Hominidae.
AUAUUUUUCCCAGACGCGGAGGUUGGGGUCAUGGCGCCCCGAAGCCUCCUCCUGCUGCUCUCAGGGGCCCUGGCCCUGACCGAUACUUGGGCAGCGACGCCGCGAUUCCGAGGAUGGAGCCGCGGGAGCCGUGGGUGGAGCAAGAGGGGCCGCAGUAUUGGGAGUGGACCACAGGGUACGCCAAGGCCAACGCACAGACUGACCGAGUGGCCCUGAGGAACCUGCUCCGCCGCUACAACCAGAGCGAGGCUGGGUCUCACACCCUCCAGGGAAUGAAUGGCUGCGACAUGGGGCCCGACGGACGCCUCCUCCGCGGGUAUCACCAGCACGCGUACGACGGCAAGGAUUACAUCUCCCUGAACGAGGACCUGCGCUCCUGGACCGCGGCGGACACCGUGGCUCAGAUCACCCAGCGCUUCUAUGAGGCAGAGGAAUAUGCAGAGGAGUUCAGGACCUACCUGGAGGGCGAGUGCCUGGAGUUGCUCCGCAGAUACUUGGAGAAUGGGAAGGAGACGCUACAGCGCGCAGAUCCUCCAAAGGCACACGUUGCCCACCACCCCAUCUCUGACCAUGAGGCCACCCUGA